RNAcentral lists this ribosomal RNA (253 nucleotides) under uncultured bacterium. RNAcentral describes it as "partial 16S ribosomal RNA". It matches the Rfam family "Bacterial small subunit ribosomal RNA", at positions 524 to 776 of the family's 1533-position model. The record is from RNAcentral.
UACGUAGGGUCCGAGCGUUGUCCGGAAUUAUUGGGCGUAAAGGGCUCGUAGGCGGUCUGUUGCGUCGGGAGUGAAAACUUACAGCUUAACUGUGAGCGUGCUUCCGAUACGGGCAGACUUGAGGUAUUCAGGGGAGAACGGAAUUCCUGGUGUAGCGGUGGAAUGCGCAGAUAUCAGGAGGAACACCGGUGGCGAAGGCGGUUCUCUGGGCCUUACCUGACGCUGAGGAGCGAAAGCGUGGGGAGCGAACAGG